Molecule: ribosomal RNA, 250 nt
Filed under: uncultured bacterium
Lineage: Bacteria
Description: partial 16S ribosomal RNA
Rfam family: Bacterial small subunit ribosomal RNA
Source: RNAcentral
UACAGAGAGUGCGAACGUUGUUCGGAAUUACUGGGCUUAAAGCGCACGUAGGCGGCGCCGCAAGUGCGGGGUGAAAUCCCACGGCUUACCCGUGGAACUGCCUUGCAGACUGCGGUGCUCGAGGAUGGUAGGGGAGAGCGGAACUCCUGGUGGAGCGGUGAAAUGCGUAGAUAUCAGGAGGAACACCGGUGGCGAAGGCGGCUCUCUGGUCCAUUUCUGACGCUGAGGUGCGAAAGCUAGGGGAGCAAAC